RNAcentral lists this ribosomal RNA (278 nucleotides) under uncultured prokaryote. RNAcentral's name for it is "partial 16S ribosomal RNA". It matches the Rfam family "Bacterial small subunit ribosomal RNA", at positions 524 to 800 of the family's 1533-position model. The record is from RNAcentral.
UACGGAGGAUCCGAGCGUUAUCCGGAUUUAUUGGGUUUAAAGGGUGCGCAGGCGGGGGAUUAAGUCGGCGGUGAAAUUUUGCAGCUCAACUGUAAAAAGUGCCUUCGAAACUGGUUUCCUUGGGUGUAGAUGAAGUAGGCGGAAUUUGUGGUGUAGCGGUGAAAUGCUUAGAUAUCACGAGGAACUCCGAUUGCGCAGGCAGCUUACUAAACUACUACUGACGCUCAGGCACGAAGGCGUGGGGAUCAAACAGGAUUAGAUACCCUGGUAGUCCCUGA